Non-coding RNA from Theobroma umbraticum, 446 nucleotides. The record is from RefSeq and is a predicted model, not a curated record. NCBI's taxonomy places the organism in Eukaryota, Viridiplantae, Streptophyta, Magnoliopsida, Malvales, Malvaceae.
CGGAGAGUCAUUAAUUUCCAUGAAUGUACAGAUGGGUUGAUGUUAGACUAUGGCAGGGAAUGGUACCUCUGGAUUGAAACCCUGCACUUUGAUCCUUUGACAAUAUUUUAACUGAAAAACAUGAGGAUGCUGCUGCCCUGGUGGAGGCACUCGUAUAAGCUGUUUGAGGGCAUGGAUUGAUGGAGUCGUUAACUAAAUAGAGAACAGUUUUACAAAUUUUGAUAUCAUUCCAAAAGGCUGCUCAUAAAAAUGGGCCCUGUAAGAGAUAAGUUAGGGUUUAAUGAGUUACUGUGAUGACUUGUUGCAAGGAUGAGUAUCAGUUCAAGCAUCUGCAAGCCAUAGGCUUUUGUGUCACAAAUUAUGGUAAGCAUGAUAUUUUGUGAAAGGAUUAGUCAAGCUUUAUGUUGAGGACUGAUUUAUCUGCUUUAAUUCUAAGAAAUAAAAAA